AGAGUUUGAUCAUGGCUCAGGACGAACGCUGGCGGCGUGCCUAACACAUGCAAGUGGAGCGACGAACCGGGCUUCGGCCCGGGGCCAAGCCGCGAACGGGUGAGUAACACGUGGGUAACCUGCCCUGAUGAUUGGGACAACCCGAGGAAACUCGGGCUAAUACCGAAUGUGCCCUCUGGCCGUAAGGCCUCUGGGGAAAGGAAGCUUCGGCCUCCGCAUCGGGAUGGGCCCGCGGCCCAUUAGCUUGUUGGUGAGGUAACGGCUCACCAAGGCAACGAUGGGUAGCUGGUCUGAGAGGACGAUCAGCCACACUGGGACUGAGACACGGCCCAGACUCCUACGGGAGGCAGCAGUGGGGAAUCUUGCGCAAUGCGCGAAAGCGUGACGCAGCAACGCCGCGUGGGGGAAGAAGGCCUUCGGGUUGUAAACCCCUUUCAGUUGGGACGAAGCUCUGGCGGUGAAUAGCCGUUUGGAGUGACGGUACCUUCAGAAGAAGCCCCGGCUAACUACGUGCCAGCCGCCGCGGUAAUAC
Molecule: ribosomal RNA, 532 nt
Filed under: uncultured bacterium
Lineage: Bacteria
Description: bacterial SSU rRNA
Rfam family: Bacterial small subunit ribosomal RNA
Source: RNAcentral